RNAcentral lists this long non-coding RNA (785 nucleotides) under Triticum aestivum (bread wheat). RNAcentral describes it as "long non-coding RNA (TAES_LNC025630)". Lineage: Eukaryota; Viridiplantae; Streptophyta; Magnoliopsida; Poales; Poaceae. The record is from RNAcentral.
CCAUUGCACGAAGACACACACAACCAUUUGUGCAUGCAUGAACACAAGUGUCCUCUGAACUUGAUCAUGUAUGUCAUACAAAAAAUUCUAGCAAAUUAAAAUGCACACAUAAAAACUCAAAACAAUGCUAACAACAUCUUUUGCAAUGAUUAAUAUUUGAAACCCAUAAACCAUCAUUUCCCCAACUUUAUAGUGUUUAAAAUUGGACGCCGAGAGGAACAGGGUUCAGGAGGAAGACGUCAGUAGGGCACUGAAGUUCAGAUUGGUCGCGAGAAGAAAGUCCGCACCGCAAGUUGGGUUUCUUGACAACGUCGACCGCUGUAGUUGGAAUCCAGGGAAACAUGCUCCUCUGACACAGACCAAAAAUCAAAAGAAUUAGUGUUCCUAGCUUACAGUACUUGUUCACAUAGUUCAUGAGAUAAAAGAACUAGCACUCAUGGAAAAAUGGAAAGUUCAUGGGUAGCAGAGGGAGCAGGUCGGCAUAGCAGCAGGUGGGCGUCACUUUUUUUAGGAGUGCAUGUUGCUGCAGGAAGGAGGAGCCACCGCCAGCUCCGUCGAAGAAGGUCGAUGGGGAGGUGCUGGGACACACACCCACCAGAGUCGAGGAGCACAUGGGAGCCAGAGGAAGCCACACUCGGGGGCUGGUGGAGGGAGAAGACCGCGACCCGGUGGGUAGCGUGCGUCGCAGGGUGCUCCCAUCGAUGGGACCCCUUCCAGCGGUGGCGGCAGGGACCCGGUGGGCGGCGCUGUCGUUGAUUGGACCCCGGGCGGCGGCAGCAGCCAGG